AGAGUUUGAUUCUGGCUCAGGAUGAACGCUAGCUACAGGCUUAACACAUGCAAGUCGAGGGGCAGCAUGGUCUUAGUUUGCUAAGGCUGAUGGCGACCGGCGCACGGGUGAGUAACACGUAUCCAACCUGCCGUCUACUCUUGGCCAGCCUUCUGAAAGGAAGAUUAAUCCAGGAUGGGAUCAUGAGUUCACAUGUCCGCAUGAUUAAAGGUAUUUUCCGGUAGACGAUGGGGAUGCGUUCCAUUAGAUAGUAGGCGGGGUAACGGCCCACCUAGUCAACGAUGGAUAGGGGUUCUGAGAGGAAGGUCCCCCACAUUGGAACUGAGACACGGUCCAAACUCCUACGGGAGGCAGCAGUGAGGAAUAUUGGUCAAUGGGCGAUGGCCUGAACCAGCCAAGUAGCGUGAAGGAUGACUGCCCUAUGGGUUGUAAACUUCUUUUAUAAAGGAAUAAAGUCGGGUAUGCAUACCCGUUUGCAUGUACUUUAUGAAUAAGGAUCGGCUAACUCCGUGCCAGCAGCCGCGGUAAUACGGAGGAUCCGAGCGUUAUCCGGAUUUAUUGGGUUUAAAGGGAGCGUAGAUGGAUGUUUAAGUCAGUUGUGAAAGUUUGCGGCUCAACCGUAAAAUUGCAGUUGAUACUGGAUGUCUUGAGUGCAGUUGAGGCAGGCGGAAUUCGUGGUGUAGCGGUGAAAUGCUUAGAUAUCAAGAAGAACUCCGAUUGCGAAGGCAGCCUGCUAAGCUGCAACUGACAUUGAGGCUCGAAAGUGUGGGUAUCAAAAAGGAUUAGAUACCCUGGUAGUCCAC
RNAcentral lists this ribosomal RNA (803 nucleotides) under uncultured bacterium. Its description in RNAcentral is "bacterial SSU rRNA". It matches the Rfam family "Bacterial small subunit ribosomal RNA", at positions 8 to 798 of the family's 1533-position model. The record is from RNAcentral.